GUUAAACUCAACACAUGUUUAAUCUGGAAUAUACAAUGCUGUCCUCAAUUGAUGACUAUACAAUUGACUAUAAGUGUUUCAAAACAGCUAAUGUAUUAUUUGAUUAAGUAUAUUACCCUUCACGUUUUUUUCUCCUCCAGGCUCUGUUACUUCAAGCAAUUUCUAUCUUGUAAAAUAACAGUAGUGGAGAAAAUUGGCAUAACUCGUAAUUUAUGAGAAAUAUAGGAAAAAAAGCAUAGUCAUUUGACUAAGAAUUUUCUAAUUGGUUAACUGCUAUAAGUGCCUUAGAUAAGAUGUCCUUAUGACAUAAUCUAUAGUAAGUGAAGUUUUGGACACGGGAUUUUGUGAUAACCUGAUGUGGCUGCAGUAUUCUAUUAAGAAGAGUUCUCUGUUCAUAAAUGUUCAAGGUUACAGUAGAAAAAAAUUGAAUCAAAUAUGAUUUUACCAUGAAAGGGGAGAACUAAGUGUAGGCACCAGUUCUGUUUCCUCAGAGAAGGAGAAGACUUCCUGUGGCAUACAUGUGUCAAAAUAUGAACCUUGAUAACUGAAGCCACAGGCCUCAGUGGUUUUCCUGCAUCUGGGAGAACAAAGCUAUUCAUGGUUUUAAGAAAAGGUUUGUACUGUUUACCAUCACAUCUUUCUUAUACUUAUAUCUGCAAAAAAGACCAUUUUGCCUUAUGAGUGUUUUGUCCAGGCGUUACAAAGUUUUUCUACUGUUAGUAACUCCGUCACAACUCUCUUAAGCUGAGCCCUGUAAAAUCUUCCUUUUCAUUUAGGUGAAAGAAAAUUAGUAUUUUUGUGACUGUGGUUGUUGCUGUUUUUGUGCCCACAGAUGUUUUAAAACUAAUCUUGGGUAAGGUAAACUGUUUUUCCAUCCAUAUUACAAAAAAUAAAGUGAAACGAGGAGGAAAAAAAGUGUGGUAUUUGCAGUUUUGUUAUGUGGGUUUGAAAAAUAAGAUAUUGUUUUCAGUUAUUUAUAAUAAAGAAGUAUACUGAGUACAUUGUAUAAUGCCAACAUGUGUGUAGCAAUUUGACAUGCAUAGCUUUUGCAUUUAAUUAAUGGAGGAUAAAAUAGAUACUAUAACUUUGUCUUUAAAUUUCUAUUCCAAUAAAAGUUGUGUCAUUUCUAUGACAGUUUUUCAUAAUAUUAGAACAUUAUUUCAUUUAAAUAAAAUUGAAAAUAAUUUGUGCAACUU
This 1196-nucleotide long non-coding RNA is filed under the name Rattus norvegicus (Norway rat). RNAcentral's name for it is "long non-coding RNA NONRATT026904". Lineage: Eukaryota; Metazoa; Chordata; Mammalia; Rodentia; Muridae. The record is from RNAcentral.